GGAUGAACGCUGGCGGCGUGCCUAAUACAUGCAAGUCGAGCGAACGGACGAGAAGCUUGCUUUUCUGAUGUUAGCGGCGGACGGGUGAGUAACACGUGGAUACCUACCUAUAAGACUGGGAUAACUUCGGGAAACCGGAGCUAAUACCGGAUAAUAUUUUGAACCGCAUGGUUCAAAAGUGAAAGACGGUCUUGCUGUCACUUAUAGAUGGAUCCGCGCUGCAUUAGCUAGUUGGUAAGGUAACGGCUUACCAAGGCAACGAUGCAUAGCCGACCUGAGAGGGUGAUCGGCCACACUGGAACUGAGACACGGUCCAGACUCCUACGGGAGGCAGCAGUAGGGAAUCUUCCGCAAUGGGCGAAAGCCUGACGGAGCAACGCCGCGUGAGUGAUGAAGGUCUUCGGAUCGUAAAACUCUGUUAUUAGGGAAGAACAUAUGUGUAAGUAACUGUGCACAUCUUGACGGUACCUAAUCAGAAAGCCACGGCUAACUACGUG
RNAcentral lists this ribosomal RNA (497 nucleotides) under uncultured bacterium. Its description in RNAcentral is "partial 16S ribosomal RNA". It matches the Rfam family "Bacterial small subunit ribosomal RNA", at positions 27 to 507 of the family's 1533-position model. The record is from RNAcentral.